GCUAAUUAUGGCCAUUGGAUCAAAUUUAUUGAGAGAUUUGUGAACCUCAUCAUGGAUCCUAUCAUAUCAAAUAAGAUUUUUUAUUUUUUAGACACAAAAUUGUGUUGUGGUCACCUUUUGAAUUGAGUAGCUUCAUUGGGUUUGUAGCAAAGGAUCGGACUCAAUUUCAUCAUCAAAACUCUGGAUUAAAGAAUUCAAGUGGCAGGCGAAUGGGACACAAUGAGCGGAUAGAGAGGAAGAUGCAUUUUACGGAAUUAAUGCACUGAUUUGCUAACCUGGGCAACUCUUAGUUUUCGCUUUAGAACUUCCUCAAUCGCGCAAUAUUGAUACUGAAAAUCAAGAAUCAAUUAAUUUGGCCUUCGCACAACACGUAAAAUCAUCAAAUUUGCUUUGUCUGUUUCGUACUAUGAUUUAAAUAUGUUUUUA
RNAcentral lists this unclassified non-coding RNA (426 nucleotides) under Hevea brasiliensis (rubber tree). The record is from RNAcentral. Lineage: Eukaryota; Viridiplantae; Streptophyta; Magnoliopsida; Malpighiales; Euphorbiaceae.